GGAUGAGAGUAUGAAAGAUUGAUCAUGAAUUGACAAUUGUUGAAAUUUUGCGAUGGGUACAUGAGAGUUUAUUACAUAGUGUUCUAUCUAUUUUUGUAUAUGUUUCAAUUUCUCCAUAUUAAAAAGUUAAAAAAAAUCCUAGUGCACAUUGUUCGUUUUGCUGAUACCACAUAAAUUCCAUGAGUACAUGGUGGAGAGGAGAGAUAGGGAGGUGAAAAAGGAAGGGAAAGGAAGAGAAGAGGAGAUCAAGAUUGUAUACAAGACGCUGCCCACUUCUCCCCUACAGCCUGGGCUGGGAAGGAAGAGAAAAUGAUCAGAACAUAAUCAACCAACCCAACCACAUCUUGGUGAUGCACCUCAAAGGAAAUGAAUGAGACUUUACUUUUGAAGAGUGUGUGGGGGCUUAGCUUUUUACUCUGUCUGGGGAGAAAACUCCAGUUUAUUCUGGAAUAUGUCUCCACAACUCUGAUUUAUUUCAUCCAUCUGUCUCUGUGGAUCUCUUUCUGGCUUUGCAGACAAAGCUGCUGAAUGAAGGAAGAGAUGAUAACGCCCUCUUUGGCACCCAGCUCUUUCUGGGAGGCACAUCCUCACCCAGUUGGAAGGGAAUGAAGACUGUCGCAUCUGUCAGACCUCUGGACAUAGCCCUGUGGCACAAAGAGAUGUCUCUUUAGGCAAAAUCAGGCACCAUGUGAAUUUGAUUUCUGUUCCUAGUAUAAAGGGGCUGUGACUAAUUUUAUAUUCUGCGAGUGGUUUUGAGGAAUGAAAAAUCUAUUCUUCCCACCCCCAGCCGCCCACUCCCUCAAAUAAGGGUUUCCUUUUCCCAAGACGCCAGAUUGCUUUGCAGACAAUGCCACUCACUUGUUACAGGAGGUUCUGGGAGAAGUUGGCAUAUAGCAUACUUCUGUUCUUGGGCAUUCUUUGGCUUAAUGGACACUGGACUUAUCAGUGACCCAUGGUUGUGGACAGCUGCUUUUCUUGUCUGUGACGCCCCUUCAGAUGCACAAAAACACACACAGGAAGCCCCAAUAUGGUGACCUUAAGAGCUAGUUUGAAAAAUACUUUUGUUUUAGAAACUGUGUGGGCUGGUAGAAAGACGAAGUGAAGCUUUCACAAUUAAGAACUGUGCUUUGGAGUGUUGAUCCCAGGAGACAAACUCCCAGAAAAUAUUCCUUCACUGUUCUUGACUUUGGCUUUCACUUUAAUACAUGAUCCACCAAUUAGGCAUCCAAUUGGGUUUCUAAGAUUUAUUUUUUUAAAUGUGAGGAUGAAGGGAUUCCCAGUCACUGAGAACAAAGGAUGAAGGGGUUCCCAGUCACUCACAUUAUAGUGAGAAUUAGUCCAAGAAAAUAGCUUUCCUCUGAACCCCUUUUUGCAUUCGGCUACUUUGAAACAGUGAGACUUGGAGUGAGAGAGAAGGGUAAUUUUAGCAACAGUGCACUUUGGGGACUGAGGACCUGAAUUAAGAGAUUCCUACAUUUGAAUUCCAACAUUUUCUAAUGUUCAGAUGCAUCUGAUAGACCAGUAAUUUUUCUAGGGAGAUUGACCACCAUUUAAAACACUGUCUUCAUGGUGGUGGUGGUAGUGGAGGGCGGCAUUUGUUACUAGUUCUGAACAACCAGCUUGCAAGUGAAUUUUUUCAGUCAGUAAUUUAGACUGUGCAAAUGAUGAAACUGAUAUUCAGAAAGGCAAAAAGGUCUCACAUGUACGGUAGUGAAAAAAGA
This 1721-nucleotide long non-coding RNA is filed under the name Macaca mulatta (Rhesus monkey). RNAcentral describes it as "lncRNA (ENSMMUG00000059817.1)". The record is from RNAcentral. Lineage: Eukaryota; Metazoa; Chordata; Mammalia; Primates; Cercopithecidae.